GAAGUAUAAAAGUUGGAUAGUGAAAACAAUAAUAUUAUUAUGAAAAAACUUCAAAAAUCUCCCAUGUGGUUUCGUAGUUUCUCACUUUGCUUCCCUGUGGUUUAAAAUGUAUCAAUUUGUCCCCAUGUGGUUUCUUUUUUCUCUUUGAUUUUCUUAUCAAUUUCAUUAUUUUUUUUUCUUAAAUCAGUGAUAAAAUUAAAAUUAAAGGGUACUAAAAUAAAUAUUUGAUAAAUCUAAAUGGGUAUCUGAAGUUUUUUUGUAUAUAAUUUAAUGAAAUAUUAACGAAAAAGUUACCGAAAAGAUAAAAACGAAACCACAGGGGGGUAAUUUGAUACAUUUUAAACCAUAGGGGGGCAAAGUGAGAAACUACGAAACCACAGGGAGGGUUUUUGAAGUUUUUCCUAUUAUUAUUGACAGUGGGUCAGAUUUUGGUAGGAAUCCGCCCCAAAUGGGGUAGGAAUGGGGGAUAGUUUUACCCCUGCUGAGGCCGAGGUGGGCAGAGAUUGGGCCGGAUUUUACACUGACGGGCUGAUCCGAAGUCAAAAAAUGGGCCGAAUGAAUUCAUUUAGUUGGCUGGGCUAGGGCAGCAAAAAAUUGGAUCAUUUCCAUUGGGUGGUCGAGAAGGCUAAACUUUAAAUAUUAUUUUUGUGGUUUCGCAUUUUCUCGUUAUGGCAUCAUGUAGUUUAGCUUUUUCUCUUCUCGUCAGGGCUUUCGUUAACUUUUCGUUAAAUCAUAUACAAAAAACUUCAUAUAACCCGCCUAUGGUUUAUCGAAUAUUCACUUUAGUACUUCAUAGUUUACAGAAUUUACUUUAGUACUCUUUAGUUUUAACUUUGUCAUUAAUUUAGCAAGAAAAUUAACGAAGAGGAUAACAGAAAGAGAAAAAUGAAAUCACAUGCAUGAUACGAAAGUGAUAUAUUUUAAACCACAUGUUACUAAAGUGAGAAAGCACGAAAUCACGUGAUGGUAUUUGAAGCUUUCUCUUAUUAUUAUUAAGGCUAUUUCUGAAUUAUUUUCUAGCAAAUUGACGUUUUAUAUAAUGCAGUAAUAGAGUUAUUUCAAGAACUCUUUAGAUUCUAAUUUGUGGUCGAUGCUGAACUCAAUUCUCACAUUCCCUCACAUUCCCCACAUCGAGAGGUAUGUGACAUCUCAAUAGUCCCACAUCGGAUAAUAUGGAAGAACCUGCUGGAUUUAUAAGUAGCGGACACACUAAAUAUAAUAACUGGACUUAAGCAUUUUGGGCCGGUGGUUUCGGCCAAACGAGUUAUUAUUGCUAGGAGUCGGGUCGUUACAGUUGGUAUCAGAGCCUGAUAACCAACCGGAAGUGUGAGAUAGAUCUCACAUCGCCUGGUGAAUCUGGGACUAUAUAUAUAAUUAGGUCGGGCUGACGAGGACGUCAGGACCUAAACGAUGGGAGUACCGAGUAUGUGACAUUCCAAUUUUGGGCCGAUAGUUUGGGCUCAACGAGUUAUUAUAACUAGUGGGUCGGGUCAUUACAAAGUAAGGUACCAAUAAGUUAUUAUAACUAGUGAGUCGGGUCGCUAGAAUUUGAUCCGUAA
This 1559-nucleotide long non-coding RNA is filed under the name Ananas comosus (pineapple). RNAcentral describes it as "long non-coding RNA (ACOM_LNC019087)". Lineage: Eukaryota; Viridiplantae; Streptophyta; Magnoliopsida; Poales; Bromeliaceae. The record is from RNAcentral.